This 492-nucleotide ribosomal RNA is filed under the name uncultured bacterium. RNAcentral describes it as "partial 16S ribosomal RNA". It matches the Rfam family "Bacterial small subunit ribosomal RNA", at positions 29 to 507 of the family's 1533-position model. The record is from RNAcentral.
AGUGAACGCUGGCGGUAGGCCUAACACAUGCAAGUCGAACGGCAGCACAGUAAGAGCUUGCUCUUACGGGUGGCGAGUGGCGGACGGGUGAGGAAUACAUCGGAAUCUACUUUUUCGUGGGGGAUAACGUAGGGAAACUUACGCUAAUACCGCAUACGACCUACGGGUGAAAGCAGGGGAUCUUCGGACCUUGCGCUAUUGAAUGAGCCGAUGUCGGAUUAGCUAGUUGGCGGGGUAAAGGCCCACCAAGGCGACGAUCCGUAGCUGGUCUGAGAGGAUGAUCAGCCACACUGGAACUGAGACACGGUCCAGACUCCUACGGGAGGCAGCAGUGGGGAAUAUUGGACAAUGGGCGCAAGCCUGAUCCAGCCAUACCGCGUGGGUGAAGAAGGCCUUCGGGUUGUAAAGCCCUUUUGUUGGGAAAGAAAAGCAGCAGGUUAAUACCCCGCUGUUCUGACGGUACCCAAAGAAUAAGCACCGGCUAACUUCGUG